UGGGGAAUAUUGGACAAUGGGCGAAAGCCUGAUCCAGCCAUGCCGCGUGUGUGAAGAAGGUCUUCGGAUUGUAAAGCACUUUAAGUUGGGAGGAAGGGCAGUAAGCGAAUACCUUGCUGUUUUGACGUUACCGACAGCAUAAGCACCGGCUAACUCUGUGCCAGCAGCCGCGGUAAUACAGAGGGUGCAAGCGUUAAUCGGAAUUACUGGGCGUAAAGCGCGCGUAGGUGGUUCGUUAAGUUGAAUGUGAAAGCCCCGGGCUCAACCUGGGAACUGCAUCCAAAACUGGCGAGCUAGAGUAGGGCAGAGGGUGGUGGAAUUUCCUGUGUAGCGGUGAAAUGCGUAGAUAUAGGAAAGAACACCAGUGGCGAAGGCGACCACCUGGGCUCAUACUAACAUUGAGGUGCGAAAGCGUGGGGAGCAAACAGG
RNAcentral lists this ribosomal RNA (429 nucleotides) under Pseudomonadota bacterium. RNAcentral describes it as "Proteobacteria bacterium partial 16S ribosomal RNA". It matches the Rfam family "Bacterial small subunit ribosomal RNA", at positions 355 to 776 of the family's 1533-position model. Lineage: Bacteria; Pseudomonadati; Pseudomonadota. The record is from RNAcentral.